UCACACCUAAAGCUAAAAAAUAAUUCUUCUUUUAUUUUUUUUGGUAUAAUAUAGUUUGGUCUUUAUAUUUGCUUUUCCUUUUUAAUCUUUUUCUCAUGCAUUUUAUCUUCUUUUUUGUAUUUUAUCUAAUUAUAGUCGGCAUAUAUAGAUUAGAACAAAUCAUAAAUACCCAUACUCGAACAAAUCAUUGAAAAUUGAGCCGUACUCGAGAAAUUAUAUCAUAAAAAUUGAGCGGAUUAAAACAAAUCAUCAAAUUCAUAUAAUUCAGUAAUCAAACAAAUUGAGCCGUACUCGAGAAAUUAUAAAUACCCAAAUUUUAUGAAAAUUGUUGAAAAUGAAUCAAUCGAAAGACAAACAUUAAUUUCAACCCUUCUUAAGUUCAUUGUUGGAGAGCAC
RNAcentral lists this small RNA (396 nucleotides) under Arabidopsis thaliana (thale cress). Its description in RNAcentral is "ATSL063280". Lineage: Eukaryota; Viridiplantae; Streptophyta; Magnoliopsida; Brassicales; Brassicaceae. The record is from RNAcentral.